CUGAGUAGGAUGUGAGGACCAGACCUGUCAUUGCUGGAUGACUGGAGCUUUGAAGCCAUCCUGCACAUCUGACAUGGCAGAAACCUUCCCAGCAGACCUAUAAAUGGUAGUGUCCUAAGUUAUCGGGCUCAACUCUUCAAAGAAAAUCAGUGACCUAUAAAGGAACACCGACAAGUCAUCAGACUGGUAUGAUCGGCUCUGUGUAGAAGGACAAAGGUGUUGAGGAGUGCGUAUUUCCCAGAGCCUAUUUGUUCAGUACAUGGCUAAAGAAGACCAGAGGGAGGAGCAGAAGCACGUUACACAAUGUAUAUGCUUUAGCAGUGGGGACUCCUGAAGUGCAAUGGCCAUAGUAGGAGGUCUCUUUAUGCAGAAGUACAUGAAUAUCAGUUGAUACCACAGUCUUGCUUAGAAGAGGAGAAAUGUUACAUGAUGGAUACUUCCAAAUCUAAAAUCUGACUGUAAGAAAAGAAAUGUUUUCUAUGUCCUGCCUGAGAAACGUUGCGUACUUUGAAUCAUGAUUUAUCAAAAUCCUGAAUAUGUGCUCAACUUGAAGAACAGAAAUGAUCUAGCUGAAGUCAAUGGAAAGAUAAGUGCUUAUUUAACUUCUCUGCUGGACUGAGAUCAGCAAUCCCAGGACCUU
Struthio camelus australis is the source of this 640-nucleotide long non-coding RNA. RefSeq lists it as uncharacterized. The record is from RefSeq and is a predicted model, not a curated record. NCBI's taxonomy places the organism in Eukaryota, Metazoa, Chordata, Aves, Struthioniformes, Struthionidae.